GCAAGAACACUGAACAGAAAAUGUAUUCUUAAAAGACUGGAGUUGUCUGUAAAUUAUAGUAACUUUGUGAUCCGAACUGAAGGCAGACAGAAAGAGAUCGAAAAUUCACAAAUUUGCCCCUCCAAGUCCAGAGCCGCCCCCCGCCCUAGUCACUGUGAACUCCAUUCCAUCACUCCACAAACGCAGCUGAAAAACCCAUCAAGCCUCUUUGGAUAUCGGAGAUCCUUCCCACAAGAACAAAUCAAGAUUGAAAUUUGAGUUGAAUGGGGAGCUUAGGGAGAGCAGUGUACACGUUAGGACUUUGGGUUCGGGAAACGGGUCAGGCCAUGGAUCGCCUCGGGUGCCGCCUCCAAGGAAAUUAUUAUUUUCAAGAACAACUGUCUAGGCAUCGAACGCUGAUGAACCUCUUCGAUAAAUCACCGGUUGUCGAUAGGGAUGCUUUUGUUGCCCCAAGCGCCUCUCUCAUUGGGGAUGUUCAGGUGGGACAAGGAUCAUCCAUAUGGUAUGGGUGCGUCCUCCGAGCCUUCACUACUUAUCUUGUCAAUUCAGCCUUUUAUCCUUCCUUUGCCAAUAAAACUUCGGGUGAUGUGAAUAGUAUCAGUGUUGGGUCUGGAACUAAUAUACAAGACAACUCCCUUGUGCAUGUAGCAAAAUCUAAUCUAAGCGGGAAGGUGCUACCAACUAUUAUUGGAGAUAAUGUCACUAUUGGACAUAGUGCAGUUAUACAUGGCUGCACAAUUGAGGAUGAGGCUUUUGUUGGUAUGGGAGCCACCCUACUUGAUGGUGUAGUUGUGGAGAGGAAUGCCAUGGUUGCUGCAGGAGCCCUGGUGAGACAGAAUACUAGAAUCCCUUUUGGGGAGGUGUGGGCAGGUAACCCUGCCAAGUUCCUCAGAAAGCUUACUGAUGAAGAAAUUGCCUUCAUCUCCCAAUCUGCGACCAAUUAUAUUAACCUUGCAAAGGUCCACGCUGCUGAAAAUGCCAAAUCUUUUGACGAAAUCGAAUUUGAAAAGGUGCUGCGCAAGAAAUUUGCCCGCCGUGAUGAGGAGUACGAUUCAAUGCUGGGUGUACAUCGUGAAACUCCACCAGAACUGGUUCUUCCAGAUAACAUCUUACCAAAUAAAGCCCAGAAGGCUGUUCAAUAAGAGCUUCAACUUGCAGUCCAUUUGCCUUCAGUUUUUCCUCUCUUGAAAUCUCACACCAAGAGGAAUAGAUGUGCGUGGUUUUUAUAGUCUUCUUCCUCACUUUGAUGCAAAUCUCAGCAGCAACUGCCAAUACUCUAUUGUAAAAUCAGUGGAACUGUUGAGCUUCAUCUGACUAAGCUCAGAUCAAUUGAAUAGCACUAUUUAGCUUUCCUGGAUACAAAAAUGUAAAAGUUUCGGUUCCACCAAAUCAACUUAACUCUUCAAGUAGAGAAUUAUUAUUUGUAAGUCAUUCUUCUUGCAUUAUUGUUGGUGGGAAUCUCUAAAAGCAACGUAUGAUUAGCUGGUCGGACAUUGAAAAGGCAAAGAUCUACAGGAUGAGCCAAUCCCGUGAAUUCAGCUGAGAUGAUUAUAAAGAAGACGGAAACAGCGUCCCUCACUCAUCUUCAUGCCAAUUUCUGUCGAAUGAUUGGGAUAUUCAGAUGUUGAGGAGUGUCUGUCUAUAAAUACAAAGAUAAAACAGAGCAUGGAAGGGGAGGAGUGGAAAGUGGCGGCACUGCAUUAGAGCGGGCAAUCCUCUUUCAAGAACUCAAGAAUCCCACAACACAAAUG
Molecule: non-coding RNA, 1751 nt
Organism: Sesamum indicum (sesame)
Lineage: Eukaryota; Viridiplantae; Streptophyta; Magnoliopsida; Lamiales; Pedaliaceae
Source: RefSeq, a predicted model, not a curated record